GAUGAACGCUAGCUACAGGCUUAACACAUGCAAGUCGAGGGGCAGCAUGAACUUAGCUUGCUAAGUUUGAUGGCGACCGGCGCACGGGUGAGUAACACGUAUCCAACCUUCCGUUUACUCAGGGAUAGCCUUUCGAAAGAAAGAUUAAUACCUGAUAGUAUGGUGAGAUUGCAUGAUAACACCAUUAAAGAUUUAUUGGUAAACGAUGGGGAUGCGUUCCAUUAGGUAGUAGGCGGGGUAACGGCCCACCUAGCCUGCGAUGGAUAGGGGUUCUGAGAGGAAGGUCCCCCACAUUGGAACUGAGACACGGUCCAAACUCCUACGGGAGGCAGCAGUGAGGAAUAUUGGUCAAUGGGCGAGAGCCUGAACCAGCCAAGUAGCGUGAAGGAUGAAGGUCCUACGGAUUGUAAACCUUUCUUUUUUAAUAAGGGGAAUAAAAACCUCCCACGUGUGGGAGCUUGUAUGUACCUUAUGAAUAAGCAUCGGCUAACUCCGUG
RNAcentral lists this ribosomal RNA (497 nucleotides) under uncultured bacterium. Its description in RNAcentral is "bacterial SSU rRNA". It matches the Rfam family "Bacterial small subunit ribosomal RNA", at positions 28 to 507 of the family's 1533-position model. The record is from RNAcentral.